RNAcentral lists this small nuclear RNA (151 nucleotides) under Pogona vitticeps (central bearded dragon). RNAcentral describes it as "U1 spliceosomal RNA (ENSPVIG00000000912.1)". It matches the Rfam family "U1 spliceosomal RNA". From Rfam's summary of the family: U1 is a small nuclear RNA (snRNA) component of the spliceosome (involved in pre-mRNA splicing). Its 5' end forms complementary base pairs with the 5' splice junction, thus defining the 5' donor site of an intron. Lineage: Eukaryota; Metazoa; Chordata; Lepidosauria; Squamata; Agamidae. The record is from RNAcentral.
ACUCAUACCUUGCAGAGAAAAUACCAUGUCAUAAAAGUGGUUUUCCCAGGGGGAGGCUUAUCCAUUGCACUUUGGGUGUGCUGCUGAUCUCUGUGAUUUUCCCCAAAUGUGAGAAACUCAACCUCAUAAUUUGUGUUUCACAUUUGUGAUU